RNAcentral lists this non-coding RNA (95 nucleotides) under Nocardia sp. Its description in RNAcentral is "Glycine sequence". It matches the Rfam family "Glycine riboswitch aptamer". Rfam says of the family: This family represents the bacterial glycine riboswitch. The record is from RNAcentral. Lineage: Bacteria; Bacillati; Actinomycetota; Actinomycetes; Mycobacteriales; Nocardiaceae. RNAcentral also lists the same sequence under 1 other name.
AGAACCCGAGUGGGAGAGACCUCGACGACUGCUGGUCGGGGCGCCGAAGGGGCAAGCUCCCGCACACUCUCAGGCAGCAAGACCACUCGGGGUAG